Molecule: non-coding RNA, 106 nt
Filed under: Burkholderia diffusa
Lineage: Bacteria; Pseudomonadati; Pseudomonadota; Betaproteobacteria; Burkholderiales; Burkholderiaceae
Description: Glycine
Rfam family: Glycine riboswitch aptamer
About the family: This family represents the bacterial glycine riboswitch. Glycine riboswitches usually consist of two metabolite-binding aptamers domains with similar structures in tandem. The aptamers cooperatively bind glycine to regulate the expression of downstream genes.
Source: RNAcentral
CCGCACGCGUCGGGAGAGCGUGUGACCGCGUAGCUUCGCAACGCCGGUCGCGCCGCCGAAGGGGCACACCCGCAAACUCUCAGGCAAAAGGACCGACCGCGUCGGG